CACCAUCGGUGCCCCGGGCACGCCGCAUAUCUCGAGCAACUACCUCAGCGUCAAGCUUGUGGCCUGUCGUCUGCCCUAUUCGAAAUUUAGACAGAAGUCUUUGGUAUAUUUAUGACAGCCCAUUUAGGGUCUCAUGUGGUGCGUGUUUGCUGGGAUCGGACGUCGGUUAUGAUAAAUAGAAAUAAUUCGCAUUGGUACACUGAAAUGCUUGUACAGAAUGCUGUUCUCCCCCUGCAUUCUCAGGAAUUAUUGAUCAAUAUAUACAUAUUAUCUC
Long non-coding RNA from Stylophora pistillata, 274 nucleotides. The record is from RefSeq and is a predicted model, not a curated record. Lineage: Eukaryota; Metazoa; Cnidaria; Anthozoa; Scleractinia; Pocilloporidae.